RNAcentral lists this ribosomal RNA (430 nucleotides) under uncultured bacterium. Its description in RNAcentral is "partial 16S ribosomal RNA". It matches the Rfam family "Bacterial small subunit ribosomal RNA", at positions 30 to 491 of the family's 1533-position model. The record is from RNAcentral.
AGCGAACGCUGGCGGCAGGCUUAACACAUGCAAGUCGAGCGGGCCUUUCGGGGUCAGCGGCGGACGGGUGAGUAACGCGUGGGAACGUGCCCUCUGGUUCGGAAUAACUCAGGGAAACUUGAGCUAAUACCGGAUACGCCCUUUUGGGGAAAGGCUUGCUGCCGGAGGAUCGGCCCGCGUCUGAUUAGCUAGUUGGUGAGGUAACGGCUCACCAAGGCGACGAUCAGUAGCUGGUCUGAGAGGAUGAUCAGCCACACUGGGACUGAGACACGGCCCAGACCCCUAGGGGGGGCAGGGGGGGAAAAUUUGGCACGGGGGGCGAACGCGUGACCCACCUGCGCCGUGGGAGUUAUGAGGCUUUGGGGGGUAAAAAGCUUUUUUACCGGGGACUAAAAAGGGGACCGGGGGGAAAAACCCCCGGGAAAACUGC